UGCUUCAAUUGCCGGCGACCGGCGCACGGGUGAGUAACGCGUAUCCAACCUUCCGUACACUCAGGGAUAGCCUUUCGAAAGAAAGAUUAAUACCUGAUGGUAUGAUGAGAUUGCAUGAUAGCAUCAUUAAAGAUUUAUCGGUGUACGAUGGGGAUGCGUUCCAUUAGGUAGUAGGCGGGGUAACGGCCCACCUAGCCAACGAUGGAUAGGGGUUCUGAGAGGAAGGUCCCCCACAUUGGAACUGAGACACGGUCCAAACUCCUACGGGAGGCAGCAGUGAGGAAUAUUGGUCAAUGGACGAGAGUCUGAACCAGCCAAGUAGCGUGAAGGAUGAAGGUCCUACGGAUUGUAAACUUCUUUUAUAAGGGAAUAAACCCUCCCACGUGUGGGAGCCUGUAUGUACCUUAUGAAUAAGCAUCGGCUAACUCCGUGCCAGCAGCCGCGGUAAUACGGAGGAUGCGAGCGUUAUCCGGAUUUAUUGGGUUUAAAGGGAGCGCAGACGGGUCGUUAAGUCAGCUGUGAAAGUUUGGGGCUCAACCUUAAAAUUGCAGUUGAUACUGGCGUCCUUGAGUGCGGUUGAGGUGUGCGGAAUUCGUGGUGUAGCGGUGAAAUGCUUAGAUAUCACGAAGAACUCCGAU
This 638-nucleotide ribosomal RNA is filed under the name uncultured bacterium. RNAcentral's name for it is "bacterial SSU rRNA". It matches the Rfam family "Bacterial small subunit ribosomal RNA", at positions 77 to 713 of the family's 1533-position model. The record is from RNAcentral.